Molecule: long non-coding RNA, 774 nt
Organism: Choloepus didactylus (southern two-toed sloth)
Lineage: Eukaryota; Metazoa; Chordata; Mammalia; Pilosa; Megalonychidae
Exons: 3
Source: RefSeq, a predicted model, not a curated record
CUUGAGUCCCUACUUGGCAGGUGGUGAGGGGAUCCCGGGGGAGCCCAGAAGGAAGAGAACCAAACAUCAGCUGUGACCUGCUCUCAGGAGCACUGAGUGGGGCGCGUCUGUGGGUCCCCACCGGCCAAAGAAUAUUCCGCUGUGCGUACGUGCCACAUUGUGUUGAUCCAUUCAUCUGUUGGUGGACACUUGGGCUGUUUCCACCUUUUGGCUGUUUGAAGAAUGCUGCUGUGAGUAUUGUGCACAGGUGCAGUGGAUUGAACCACGCCCCCCACAAAGACGUUCCUAUCCUAACCCCCAGUCCUAUGGGUGGGGACUCAUUUGUACAUAGGAUGGUCAAAGAUCCUACUUGGAUGAGGCCAAAUUGAAUCAGGGUGGGCCUUAAUCCAAUAUGACAGAAGUUCUUACAACCAGAGGAAAUUCAGAUGCAGUCCUCAGUAGAAGCCAGAAGGAGAAGCCAGGAAGGGAGAGACAGAUCAUCAUGCAACAGAAGCAAAGAAGCAUCCACAAGCCAAGGAAUGCCGAGGAUUGCUGACAAGCCAGCACCAGAACACUACAGAUUCCAGGAGAAAGCCUGGCCUGGCAAGAUGUUGAUUUUGAACUCCCAGACUCCAAAACUGUGAGACAAUAAAUCCCUGUGGUUUAAGCCAACCAGUGUGUGGUACUUGUCACAGCAGUGCUGGCCACUGAAGACAGCUGGAUCACUCUCUCUGCCCUCGCUCUGCUCUGGGCACACUGCUGCUUCCCAUCAGUCUUCUGUUCAGUGGUUUGUUU